GUGGGAGUAAACUAAGAAAGUUAUUAGGUUCAUACCCUGACUAUAGAUUAAAAUUCUCUCCCAUU
This 65-nucleotide transfer RNA is filed under the name Tapes dorsatus. RNAcentral describes it as "tRNA-Met". Lineage: Eukaryota; Metazoa; Mollusca; Bivalvia; Venerida; Veneridae. The record is from RNAcentral. RNAcentral also lists the same sequence under 1 other name.